Molecule: transfer RNA, 75 nt
Filed under: Planctomycetota bacterium
Lineage: Bacteria; Pseudomonadati; Planctomycetota
Description: Planctomycetes bacterium (activated sludge metagenome) tRNA-Gln
Rfam family: tRNA
About the family: Transfer RNA (tRNA) molecules are approximately 80 nucleotides in length.
Source: RNAcentral
UGCGGGUUAGUUCAGUGGCAGAACGCCGGUCUCUGAAGCCGGAUGUCGGAGGUUCGAUCCCUCCACCCGCAACCA